AUCCAGCUGGUGGACGAGUCCCAAAUAGGACGAAAUGCACAUCCCGAUUGGAU
Trichobilharzia regenti is the source of this 53-nucleotide non-coding RNA. The record is from Rfam. NCBI's taxonomy places the organism in Eukaryota, Metazoa, Platyhelminthes, Trematoda, Strigeidida, Schistosomatidae.